CCUACGGGCGGCAGCAGUGGGGAAUAUUGCACAAUGGGCGAAAGCCUGAUGCAGCAACGCCGCGUGAAGGAAGAAGGGUUUCGGCUCGUAAACUUCUAUCAACAGGGACGAAAGAAAUGACGGUACCUGAAUAAGAAGCACCGGCUAACUACGUGCCAGCAGCCGCGGUAAUACGUAGGGGGCAAGCGUUAUCUGGACUUACUGGGUGUAAAGGGUGAGUAGGCGGCAUGGUAAGACAGAUGUGAAAGCCUUGGGCUUAAACCUAGGAUUGCAUUUGGAACUAUCAAGCUAGAGUACAGGAGAGGAGAGCGGAAUUCCUAGGGGAGCGGUGAAAUGCGUAGAGAUUAGGAAGAACACCAGUGGCGAAGGCGGCUUUCUGGACUGAAACUGACGCGGAGGCACGAAAGCGUGGGUAGCGAACAGGAUUAGAGACCCGAGUAGUC
Molecule: ribosomal RNA, 443 nt
Filed under: uncultured bacterium
Lineage: Bacteria
Description: partial 16S ribosomal RNA
Rfam family: Bacterial small subunit ribosomal RNA
Source: RNAcentral